This is a non-coding RNA of Halocaridina rubra (Hawaiian volcano shrimp), 78 nucleotides long. NCBI's taxonomy places the organism in Eukaryota, Metazoa, Arthropoda, Malacostraca, Decapoda, Atyidae. The record is from the annotation of a GenBank genome assembly.
GCACUAGCUCAGUGAUAGAGCACAUGAUUCGGGAAGGGAAAAUUCUGACUAACGCGGGUUCAAUCCCAGCGAGGAGCA